GCACAAGCAGCGGAGCGUGUGGUUUAAUUCGAUGCAACCCGAAGAACCUUACCUGGGCUUGACAUUAUGGGAAAAGCCGUAGAGAUACGGUGUGCAUUAGCGUCCAUAACAGGUGGUGCAUGGCUGUCGUCAGCUCGUGUCGUGAGAUGUUCGGUUAAGUCCGCUAACGAGCGCAACCCUCGCUGUAUGUUACAUGCGUCAUACAGGACCGCCGGUAUCAAGCCGGAGGAAGGUGGGGAUGACGUCAAGUCCGCAUGGCCUUUAUGUCCGGGGCUACACACACGCUACAAUGGUCGGUACAAUGGGUUGCUAAGCCGCGAGGUGGAGCCAAUCCCCCAAAGCCGGCCUCAGUUCAGAUUGCAGGCUGCAACUCGCCUGCAUGAAGCUGGAGUUGCUAGUAGACGCGCGUCAGCUAUAGUGCGUUGAAUACGUUCUCGGGCCUU
RNAcentral lists this ribosomal RNA (443 nucleotides) under uncultured Anaerolineaceae bacterium. RNAcentral describes it as "bacterial SSU rRNA". It matches the Rfam family "Bacterial small subunit ribosomal RNA", at positions 923 to 1382 of the family's 1533-position model. The record is from RNAcentral. Lineage: Bacteria; Bacillati; Chloroflexota; Anaerolineae; Anaerolineales; Anaerolineaceae.